GUGUCAGCAGCCGCGGUAAGACGAACCGUGCGAACGUUGUUCGGAAUCACUGGGCUUAAAGGGCGCGUAGGCGGCUUCGCAAGUCCGGGGUGAAAGCCCCCAGCUCAACUGGGGAAGUGCCUUGGAUACUGCGGGGCUCGAGCGAGGCAGGGGUCGUGGGAACUUCCGGUGGAGCGGUGAAAUGCGUUGAUAUCGGAAGGAACGCCGGUGGCGAAAGCGCACGACUGGUCCUCUUCUGACGCUGAGGCGCGAAAGCCAGGGGAGCAAACGGGAUUAGAAACCCUAGUAGUCC
RNAcentral lists this ribosomal RNA (292 nucleotides) under uncultured bacterium. RNAcentral's name for it is "partial 16S ribosomal RNA". It matches the Rfam family "Bacterial small subunit ribosomal RNA", at positions 505 to 796 of the family's 1533-position model. The record is from RNAcentral.